Molecule: long non-coding RNA, 2546 nt
Organism: Choloepus didactylus (southern two-toed sloth)
Lineage: Eukaryota; Metazoa; Chordata; Mammalia; Pilosa; Megalonychidae
Exons: 3
Source: RefSeq, a predicted model, not a curated record
GGAGCAGCCCAGGGCCCCAAGGCCCCGGAGGGGAGGCCUCCCUGCUGAGAAGCUCUGCGCCCGGGAGGAAAUCUAGGCCUGGACACUGGGCGCGGGGCAGCCUGGGCCAGUUCCUCUAGGGGCUAUCUCAGAGUCUCGGGUGGCUCCACCUGUUUUUCUAAAGUAAAACAACAAAGACCUGCAUGGGAACCGAACUUACUCCUCAGUGAUCCAAAUGACUUCUUUGCUGAAUUGGACUAGGAGUUCUCAAGUCCUUACAGUGUGUUUCCCCAGGCUCAUCAGCCAUCCACAGGCAACAGCUGCGGCUGGGACGUGCUGCACGGUCAACUGAACGGGGAGCUGGGACGAGGUGCCAGCAAGCACCGCGAUGCAGUGUCCCCACGUAAAUGACCCCACAAGCACAGGACACCGUGGAAUAAGUGAGUGGCGACUUUGGGCUUCAUUUCAAGCAGUGUGGCUUUCUUUCAUUCUCCGAGUCGUGCUGUGUUAGAAGUCCCCAUAUUCAACAUGCGGAGAUGGCUUCUCUCCGAGCCAACUUGGAGCUCGAAUUGCCAAAGAGGAAAGAAGCUCUGCUUUCUGCAGGCAAGAGAGCGAUUCUCCUCUAGGAGCCCCGGCCUCGAGAAGCUGCUCUAGGGAAGCAGGGACACUCACUCUGGUCAAACAAGCUGAGCCCUGUGCGUGCACAUGUGUGUCCAUCCGUCCGUCAGUGGGCGGAUGGGGCCUCCACUCCUAGCAGUUCCCUCCGCACGUGGCUGAGCCCCAGCCCUGCACCUCCCCUGGCAUGGCUGAGAACGGACAGGACACCUCUGCAUUUUGGAACAAGUUGUUUUAGUCCCUCAAGCACAAAGUAGGCCCUGGAAAUGUAUCUGAAGAAAGAAAGGAGAGAAGGGAGAGAGAAAUAUACAGCUAUAGAUAUAGAUUUGGGCCAGACAGAGCCACUUCUAGCCCAGCACUUUUUACAAGAACUAACACUUACUUCUGCCAACAUUCAAAUACAGGUGCCUGGAAGGGACAGCAACAACUUCAGCGAGCCAGGAGCCCACGUCCAGAGGGCCCCCCGGUGCCCCCGCAGGCACAGCCCCUACGCCCUCACACCAGCACUCCCCGUGGGCAGCUGGAAGAGGGCAGCAGACUUGCCUGGGUGGUGCUGUCACCACAUGUCACCACGCCAGCAGACAGAGAAGGACCAUUAGAGGGCCACGGGAGGCGGGUGGGGCCGUGACGGAGGGCACUGCAAGUCAGGUUGGGCUGGGGCUUUGUGGGUGGGCACGGGGAACUUUUCCCAGAGUUUGAGCAUCAGAACGACCAUAUUCAGAGAUUCACAUGAGAAAGCAUCGUAUUUGGGGAAAACUUACAUUCCGAUGUGCCUGGGACAGCCCUAGUUUUCCUGGACAGUCUCAAUUUUUAUGCCUGUUGUCCUGGAUCCUAUUAAGUUAACUUCCAGUUUCACUCUCAAAAGUAAAUCCUGAGUUUAUUGAUUGGAUAUUUUAUGAUAUUAAGGGAUUAUUGUUAAUUUUUUGAGAUGUGAUAAUAGUAUUGUGGUUAUGUUAAAAAAAUAAGUAUGCUUCUUUUAGAGAUACAUACAUAAAUAUCUGUAGACGAACACUGUCUGAGAUUUGCUUCAAAAUCAUCCAGAAGGAAGCCGUUGGGGGUGGCAGGGGGUGGAAGUGAAAAAAGAUUGGCUGAGUUGACAGCUGCUGUGGUUUGGUGACAGAUCCAUGGGAAUUCAUUAUACUAUCCUCCUCUCUAUUUUUAUGUUUGUUUAAAAUUUUCUGAUCUAAAAGUUUAAGAUAAAGUGUCCCAGAUUUUACAAUAAAUAUAGUCACUCUAGUUCAGUCAUUGUCAACAGGGAGACAUUUAGCAAUGUCUGAAGACAAUUUUGGUUUCUAGAACUGGGGGUGGAGUCACUGGCAUCUCGUGGGAGUGGGCUGGAAGAGGGGCUGCCAAACGCUACGACGCCAGGGGCACCCCCAUAACAAAGAUUCUCCAGCCCUGCGUGUCACUUGGGCCGAGGCUGAGAUGCCCUGGGCUGGUGGACUCGUCUGCGCCUUACCCCAAGGUGCAGCCCCACGAGCAGGAAGUGUGCUGCAGCUCUGUGCACGCUGGUCGUAACUGACACCCUAGGAGUGAUCGGGUAGCACUUAGAGGAAUGCACAGUCCAGGAACGGCUGGCAAGGACUUCAAAUAUGGUUAUCUAAAUCUGCUCCCAAGAAUUCAUUAACCAGCUUCAAAGACUUCCUAGAUAAUGUGUCCUUGAUGAAAUGAGUGACAUUCAAGAGAGGUAAUUGGCUGGGAAAAUGGUAGGGGCACCUGUGUUUUUGCUUGAACAACCUAGAUGCCAACCCCACGGAGGGCUGCUCUGAGUCUACCCCAUUUGGUCCUGGGUCCCACCGCCGUCACUCUCCAACUCUGAUAGAAGUUUCUGCUUCCUGAUCCAGCUAGAAAACGGGCAGGUCCUGCCAACAUAAUGUGUCAUUUCUUUGGGAAUGCGGGACACUGAUUACGUGCUUCAACUUGGCGGGCCUGGGCUGGGGGACCGGAUCCGC